AAAGAGAGAGUUGACCAAAUUUUGACUUUUUGAUCCGUGGCUCGUAUCGACGAUCGGAGACCGUGGUUGCGUUCAUCUCGUCGAGACGAACCCAUUUUGCUAUUCAUACGUCCAUUCCGGGCACUUUGAAACCCGUAGCGAGCCCAAUAAAUUCAGACCGUUCGUUGUUUUAAAAAAAAUAAAAUAAAAGAAAGGAUAAAUACUGGAUCGAUCCAUCCAGACUCUUCACGUCGUGUGUUUCUCUCUCUCUCUCGCGAACUCUCUUUCUCCUGUUGCUUUGCCGCCGCUGCGCUGCUCCUGCCGCGGCGCCGCUGCUUGCUUGCGCCAACACGCCGCCGCCGGCCGCCGCUGCGUCGAGCCGCCGGUCGCCGCCACGUCGCGCCGAGCACCGGACGCCGUCGCUCCCGCACACGACGCUGUCGCCGUCCGCCGGCUAGCGCAGCCUGCAUCGCCGGACUGCGCGCCGCCACUGCCGUGCACCGCUGCUGGCCGCUGUGCGCCGCCGUGCGUCGCCGUAUAGGCAAGCCAGCAGCAACCGGCCGAAGAAAACCAGUGCAACACGGAAGAAGAAGCCAGGAGAAGAAGAAGGAAGAAAAGAAAGAGAAAAGAAAAAAGAAGAAGAAAAGGAAAAAAAAAAAGAAAAGGGGAAAAAGUUGGAAAUUUUCAAAAUUUCGUCGAAUUCGUCGUCAAACUUUCGAAGGCGAAUUUUCGGUGAUACUAUUUCCGGACGUUCUUGAUCGAAUUUUCUUCAUCGUCGGUAAAGGCAAGUGAAUGUAUUGUAUGACUAUGCUUUAACCUAAUAUUGGGUUGCCUACAUUCUUUAAUUACAGUGCAUUCAUCUAAUCUGAAUGACUGAUUCUGGACUGAGUACUAUGUUGUUUACGUUUCCAGAAGUUUACUCGAUGAUUGAUUUAUGAAGUGCAGUAGGCACAAUAUGCCAUUCUGCAGUUGUUCA
Phragmites australis (common reed) is the source of this 955-nucleotide long non-coding RNA. RefSeq lists it as uncharacterized. Lineage: Eukaryota; Viridiplantae; Streptophyta; Magnoliopsida; Poales; Poaceae. The transcript has 2 exons. The record is from RefSeq and is a predicted model, not a curated record.